This is a long non-coding RNA of Vombatus ursinus (common wombat), 450 nucleotides long. RefSeq lists it as uncharacterized. The transcript has 3 exons. Lineage: Eukaryota; Metazoa; Chordata; Mammalia; Diprotodontia; Vombatidae. The record is from RefSeq and is a predicted model, not a curated record.
CCAAAAGACAACUGGAUGAAUGAGCAAGGGAAUUCCCUAAGUGGGGCCCUCUGUGGGAAGCAAUAAGAAGUUGCAGAAGUCAUGAAAUAGAGCACCACUUGGUGACACCUACUGGGAGCAAUAGGUGUCACAGUACAGCCAAGAUCAACCAGCAAUACUUGAAGGGAGCUACUGAGAAACACAAGGAAUACUGAAGGGACCCACCACAAUGGCACCACUAACACAAGGCAAAAGGCCUGUGAUUUCAUCAGUGUAGGAAGUCCCUGAUGAGGAAACUCCCUCCAGCAAUGGAGACUUUCAACUGUUCUUCAAGAUUAUCAAUUGCCUGGGCAACUAGAGGUUGUGACUUGCCGAAAAUCACAUAGUCAACAUGGAUCAGAGCUCCUGCAACAAUGCAGGCAAGGAAACCGAAGCCACCUGGAAGAGGUUGGAUCCAAUCACAGAAGGUAA